This 67-nucleotide microRNA precursor is filed under the name Bombyx mori (domestic silkworm). Its description in RNAcentral is "mir-2774 microRNA precursor family". It matches the Rfam family "mir-2774 microRNA precursor family". Lineage: Eukaryota; Metazoa; Arthropoda; Insecta; Lepidoptera; Bombycidae. The record is from Rfam by way of RNAcentral.
ACAACAUUCGGAACGUCGGUCUACCGGGCAAUUACACCCGCACGGUGGAAGAUCUUCCCUUCGUCGU